Molecule: non-coding RNA, 136 nt
Organism: Ornithorhynchus anatinus (platypus)
Lineage: Eukaryota; Metazoa; Chordata; Mammalia; Monotremata; Ornithorhynchidae
Gene: MIR31
Product: microRNA mir-31
Exons: 1
Source: RefSeq, marked provisional
CUCAGAGCUGGAGAGAAGGCAAGAUGUUGGCAUAGCUGUUGAGUUAAGAACCUGCUAUGCCGACAUGUUGUCAUCUUUCUUGUCUAUCAGCAGCCAUGGCCAGCUUUAAUUCUCCCUAUCUCUUCUGUUUACUGAG